Molecule: ribosomal RNA, 603 nt
Filed under: Rothia dentocariosa
Lineage: Bacteria; Bacillati; Actinomycetota; Actinomycetes; Micrococcales; Micrococcaceae
Description: bacterial SSU rRNA
Rfam family: Bacterial small subunit ribosomal RNA
Source: RNAcentral
AUGGGCGCAGCCUGAUGCAGCGACGCCGCGUGAGGGAUGACGGCCUUCGGGUUGUAAACCUCUGUUAGCAUCGAAGAAGCGAAAGUGACGGUAGGUGCAGAGAAAGCGCCGGCUAACUACGUGCCAGCAGCCGCGGUAAUACGUAGGGCGCGAGCGUUGUCCGGAAUUAUUGGGCGUAAAGAGCUUGUAGGCGGUUGGUCGCGUCUGCUGUGAAAGGCUGGGGCUUAACCCUGGUUUUGCAGUGGGUACGGGCUAACUAGAGUGCAGUAGGGGAGACUGGAAUUCCUGGUGUAGCGGUGGAAUGCGCAGAUAUCAGGAGGAACACCGAUGGCGAAGGCAGGUCUCUGGGCUGUAACUGACGCUGAGAAGCGAAAGCAUGGGGAGCGAACAGGAUUAGAUACCCUGGUAGUCCAUGCCGUAAACGUUGGGCACUAGGUGUGGGGGACAUUCCACGUUUUCCGCGCCGUAGCUAACGCAUUAAGUGCCCCGCCUGGGGAGUACGGCCGCAAGGCUAAAACUCAAAGAAAUUGACGGGGGCCCGCACAAGCGGCGGAGCAUGCGGAUUAAUUCGAUGCAACGCGAAGAACCUUACCAGGCUUGACA